This 447-nucleotide ribosomal RNA is filed under the name uncultured bacterium. RNAcentral describes it as "partial 16S ribosomal RNA". It matches the Rfam family "Bacterial small subunit ribosomal RNA", at positions 330 to 794 of the family's 1533-position model. The record is from RNAcentral.
GCCAGACUCCUACGGGAGGCAGCAGUGGGGAAUAUUGCACAAUGGGGGAAACCCUGAUGCAGCGACGCCGCGUGAGCGAAGAAGUACCUCGGUAUGUAAAGCUCUAUCAGCAGGGAAGAAGAUGACGGUACCUGACCAAGAAGCUCCGGCUAAAUACGUGCCAGCAGCCGCGGUAAUACGUAUGGAGCAAGCGUUAUCCGGAUUUACUGGGUGUAAAGGGGGCGCAGACGGCGAUGCAAGCCAGGAGUGAAAGCCCGGGGCCCAACCCCGGGACUGCUCUUGGAACUGCGUGGCUGGAGUGCAGGAGGGGCAGGCGGAAUUCCUAGUGUAGCGGUGAAAUGCGUAGAUAUUAGGAGGAAUACCAGUGGCGAAGGCGGCCUGCUGGACGAUGACUGACGUUGAGGCUCGAAAGCGUGGGGAGCAAACAGGAUUAGAUACCCCCGUAGA